AUACGGAGGAUGCAAGCGUUAUCCGGAUUUAUUGGGUUUAAAGGGUGCGUAGGCGGUUUGCUAAGCGGGAGGUGAAAUGCCGGCGCUCAACGUCGGAAGUGCCUCCCGAACUGGUGGACUGGAAUGACUCUGCCGUGGGAGGAAUGUGUAGUGUAGCGGUGAAAUGCUUAGAGAUUACACAGAACACCGAUUGCGAAGGCAUCUCACGAAGGGUUGAUUGACGCUGAGGCACGAAAGCGUGGGGAUCAAACAGGAUUAGAUACCCUGGUAGUCCACGCAGUAAACGAUGAUGGCUAACCGCUGGUUUAUUCGGAUCAGUGGCCAAGCGAAAGCGAUAAGUUAUCCACCUGGGGAGUACGACCGCAAGGUUGAAACUCAAAUGAAUUGACGGGG
Molecule: ribosomal RNA, 393 nt
Filed under: uncultured bacterium
Lineage: Bacteria
Description: partial 16S ribosomal RNA
Rfam family: Bacterial small subunit ribosomal RNA
Source: RNAcentral